Molecule: non-coding RNA, 234 nt
Filed under: Tissierella praeacuta
Lineage: Bacteria; Bacillati; Bacillota; Tissierellia; Tissierellales; Tissierellaceae
Description: T-box sequence
Rfam family: T-box leader
About the family: Uncharged tRNA acts as the effector for transcription antitermination of genes in the T-box leader family. T-boxes are found upstream of many aminoacyl-tRNA synthetase genes and some amino acid biosynthetic genes usually in Gram-positive bacteria.
Source: RNAcentral
UAAAAUGCUAUGAAUUGGUAAAGUAAAUUAUAUGGAGUAUCUAAGAGAGGAUUCUAUUGGUGGGAGGAAUCUAUACGAUAUAUAUUUGAAGUGCACCAAUGAGCAUAAAGUCGAAAAAUUUAGUAGACUUAUACGGUGGUUCCCGUUAUAGAACUAGAGUAUGAAAGUACUUGAAUUGAGCUGGGGAUUACCUCAAGCAGAGUGGAACCGCGAAACUUACCUUUUGCCUCUGUA